UACGUAGGGGGCAAGCGUUGUCCGGAAUCAUUGGGCGUAAAGAGCGUGUAGGCGGCCUGGUAAGUCGGCUGUGAAAGUCAGGGGCUCAACCCUUGAAUGCCGGCCGAUACUGUCAGGCUAGAGUCCGGAAGAGGCGAGUGGAAUUCCUGGUGUAGCGGUGAAAUGCGCAGAUAUCAGGAGGAACACCGAUGGCGAAGGCAGCUCGCUGGGACGGUACUGACGCUGAGACGCGAAAGCGUGGGGAGCAAACAGG
This 253-nucleotide unclassified non-coding RNA is filed under the name uncultured Solirubrobacterales bacterium. RNAcentral describes it as "contains 16S-23S intergenic spacer region". It matches the Rfam family "Bacterial small subunit ribosomal RNA", at positions 524 to 776 of the family's 1533-position model. Lineage: Bacteria; Bacillati; Actinomycetota; Thermoleophilia; Solirubrobacterales. The record is from RNAcentral.